AUGGCUCAUUACAACAGCUGUUGUUUCUUGGAUCUUGAUUUACUUGGAUAACUGUGGUAAUUCUAGAGCUAAUACAUGCAACCAAGCUCCGACCUAGCGGGAAGAGCGCAUUUAUUAGACCAAGACCAAUCAGGCUUCGGCCUGGAAUCUGGUGACUCUGAAUAACUUUGCUGAUCACACGGUCCUAGCACCGGUGACAUAUCUUUCAAGUGUCUGCCCUAUCAACUUUCGAUGGUAGUUUAUGUGCCUACCAUGGUUGUAACGGGUAACGGAGAAUAAGGGUUCGACUCCGGAGAGGGAGCCUGAGAAAUGGCUACCACAUCCAAGGAAGGCAGCAGGCGCGCAAAUUACCCACUCUCAGCACGAGGAGGUAGUGACGAAAAAUAACGAGACGGUUCUCUAUGAGGCCCGUCAUCGGAAUGGGUACAAUUCAAACCCUUUAAUGAGGAUCUAUUG
RNAcentral lists this ribosomal RNA (456 nucleotides) under Metachromadoroides remanei. RNAcentral's name for it is "SSU rRNA". It matches the Rfam family "Eukaryotic small subunit ribosomal RNA", at positions 93 to 550 of the family's 1831-position model. Lineage: Eukaryota; Metazoa; Nematoda; Chromadorea; Desmodorida; Desmodoridae. The record is from RNAcentral.